ACGAACGCUGGCGGCGUGCUUAACACAUGCAAGUCGAACGGAAAGGCCCCUUUGGGGGUACUCGAGUGGCGAACGGGUGAGUAACACGUGAGUAACCUGCCCUUGACUUCGGGAUAACUUCAGGAAACUGGGGCUAAUACCGGAUAGGAAUCCUUGCUGCAUGGUGGGGGUUGGAAAGCUUCGGCGGUUUUGGAUGGACUCGCGGCUUAUCAGCUUGUUGGUGGGGUAGUGGCUUACCAAGGCUUUGACGGGUAGCCGGCCUGAGAGGGCGACCGGCCACAUUGGGACUGAGACACGGCCCAGACUCCUACGGGAGGCAGCAGUGGGGAAUAUUGCACAAUGGGCGGAAGCCUGAUGCAGCAACGCCGCGUGCGGGAUGACGGCCUUCGGGUUGUAAACCGCUUUCAGCAGGGGCGAAGCUUGUGGUGACGGUACCUGCAGAAGAAGCACCGGCUAACUACGUG
Molecule: ribosomal RNA, 464 nt
Filed under: uncultured bacterium
Lineage: Bacteria
Description: partial 16S ribosomal RNA
Rfam family: Bacterial small subunit ribosomal RNA
Source: RNAcentral